This 237-nucleotide ribosomal RNA is filed under the name uncultured bacterium. RNAcentral describes it as "partial 16S ribosomal RNA". It matches the Rfam family "Bacterial small subunit ribosomal RNA", at positions 99 to 334 of the family's 1533-position model. The record is from RNAcentral.
CGAACGGGUGAGUAACGCGUGAGGAACCUGCCUCAAAGAGGGGGACAACAGUUGGAAACGACUGCUAAUACCGCAUAAGCCCACGGCUCGGCAUCGAGCAGAGGGAAAAGGAGUGAUCCGCUUUGAGAUGGCCUCGCGUCCGAUUAGCUAGUUGGUGAGGUAACGGCCCACCAAGGCGACGAUCGGUAGCCGGACUGAGAGGGUGACCGGCCACAUUGGGACUGAGACACGGCCCAA